UACAGAGGUCUCAAGCGUUGUUCGGAUUCAUUGGGCGUAAAGGGUGCGUAGGCGGCGCGGUAAGUCGGGUGUGAAAUCUUGGAGCUUAACUCCGAAACUGCAUUCGAUACUGCCGUGCUUGAGGACUGGAGAGGAGACUGGAAUUUACGGUGUAGCGGUGAAAUGCGUAGAUAUCGUAAGGAAGACCAGUGGCGAAGGCGGGUCUCUGGACAGUUCCUGACACUGAGGAGCGAAAGCAUGGGGAGCAAACAGG
This 253-nucleotide ribosomal RNA is filed under the name uncultured bacterium. RNAcentral's name for it is "partial 16S ribosomal RNA". It matches the Rfam family "Bacterial small subunit ribosomal RNA", at positions 524 to 776 of the family's 1533-position model. The record is from RNAcentral.